AUCUUACUUCCUCCGUCCAACAAAGUAUGUCUCAACUUUGACCAAAUUUGAAUGCAUCUAUACACUGAUUAAUGUCUAAAUGCAUCCAAUUUUGACAAAUUUGAGGCAUCUUUUGUUGGACGGAGGAAGUAUAAU
Brachypodium distachyon (stiff brome) is the source of this 135-nucleotide non-coding RNA. Lineage: Eukaryota; Viridiplantae; Streptophyta; Magnoliopsida; Poales; Poaceae. The record is from Rfam.